GCCUGCGCGGAAGAUGUAACGGGGCUAAACCAUGCACCGAAGCUGCGGCAGCGACGCUUAUGCGUUGUUGGGUAGGGGAGCGUUCUGUAAGCCGUUGAAGGUGUGCUGUGAGGCAUGCUGGAGGUAUCAGAAGUGCGAAUGCUGACAUAAGUAACGAUAAAGCGGGUGAAAAGCCCGCUCGCCGGAAGACCAAGGGUUCCUGUCCAACGUUAAUCGGGGCAGGGUGAGUCGACCCCUAAGGCGAGGCCGAAAGGCGUAGUCGAUGGGAAACAGGUUAAUAUUCCUGUACUUGGUGUUACUGCGAAGGGGGGACGGAGAAGGCUAUGUCAGCCGGGCGACGGUUGUCCCGGUUUAAGCAUGUAGGCGGAGGUUCCAGGUAAAUCCGGUACCUUGUUAACGCUGAGGUGUGAUGACGAGGCACUACGGUGCUGAAGUGAUAAAUGCCCUGCUUCCAGGAAAAGCCUCUAAGCAUCAGGUAACACGAAAUCGUACCCCAAACCGACACAGGUGGUCAGGUAGAGAAUACCAAGGCGCUUGAGAGAACUCGGGUGAAGGAACUAGGCAAAAUGGUGCCGUAACUUCGGGAGAAGGCACGCUGAUAGGUAGGUGAAGUCCCUGCGGACGGAGCUGAAAUCAGUCGAAGAUACCAGCUGGCUGCAACUGUUUAUUAAAAACACAGCACUGUGCAAACACGAAAGUGGACGUAUACGGUGUGACGCCUGCCCGGUGCCGGAAGGUUAAUUGAUGGGGUUAGCGGCAACGCGAAGCUCUUGAUCGAAGCCCCGGUAAACGGCGGCCGUAACUAUAACGGUCCUAAGGUAGCGAAAUUCCUUGUCGGGUAAGUUCCGACCUGCACGAAUGGCGUAAUGAUGGCCAGGCUGUCUCCACCCGAGACUCAGUGAAAUUGAACUCGCUGUGAAGAUGCAGUGUACCCGCGGCAAGACGGAAAGACCCCGUGAACCUUUACUAUAGCUUGACACUGAACACUGGUCCUUGAUGUGUAGGAUAGGUGGGAGGCUUUGAAGCGUGGACGCCAGUCUGCGUGGAGCCAACCUUGAAAUACCACCCUUUAAUGGCUGGUGUUCUAACGUAGACCCGUAAUCCGGGUUGCGGACAGUGUCUGGUGGGUAGUUUGACUGGGGCGGUCUCCUCCCAAAGAGUAACGGAGGAGCACGAAGGUUGGCUAAUCCUGGUCGGACAUCAGGAGGUUAGUGCAAUGGCAUAAGCCAGCUUGACUGCGAGCGUGACGGCGCGAGCAGGUGCGAAAGCAGGUCAUAGUGAUCCGGUGGUUCUGAAUGGAAGGGCCAUCGCUCAACGGAUAAAAGGUACUCCGGGGAUAACAGGCUGAUACCGCCCAAGAGUUCAUAUCGACGGCGGUGUUUGGCACCUCGAUGUCGGCUCAUCACAUCCUGGGGCUGAAGUAGGUCCCAAGGGUAUGGCUGUUCGCCAUUUAAAGUGGUACGCGAGCUGGGUUUAGAACGUCGUGAGACAGUUCGGUCCCUAUCUGCCGUGGGCGCUGGAGAAUUGAGGGGGGCUGCUCCUAGUACGAGAGGACCGGAGUGGACGCAUCACUGGUGUUCGGGUUGUCAUGCCAAUGGCACUGCCCGGUAGCUAAAUGCGGAAAAGAUAAGUGCUGAAAGCAUCUAAGCACGAAACUUGCCCCGAGAUGAGUUCU
This 1675-nucleotide ribosomal RNA is filed under the name human gut metagenome. Its description in RNAcentral is "bacterial LSU rRNA". It matches the Rfam family "Bacterial large subunit ribosomal RNA", at positions 1157 to 2812 of the family's 2925-position model. The record is from RNAcentral.